RNAcentral lists this ribosomal RNA (441 nucleotides) under uncultured Methanosaeta sp. RNAcentral describes it as "bacterial SSU rRNA". It matches the Rfam family "Archaeal small subunit ribosomal RNA", at positions 898 to 1338 of the family's 1478-position model. Lineage: Archaea; Methanobacteriati; Methanobacteriota; Methanomicrobia; Methanotrichales; Methanotrichaceae. The record is from RNAcentral.
CGGUUUUAAUUGGAUUCAACGCCGGAAUCUUACCGGGACCGACAGCAAUAUGAAGGCCAGGCUGAAGACUUUGCCGGAUUAGCUGAGAGGUGGUGCAUGGCCGUCGUCAGUUCGUACUGUGAAGCAUCCUGUUAAGUCAGGCAACGAGCGAGACCCACGCCCACAGUUGCCAGCGUACUCUCCGGAGUGACGGGUACACUGUGGGGACCGCCGCUGCUAAAGCGGAGGAAGGAAUGGGCAACGGUAGGUCAGUAUGCCCCGAAUAUCCCGGGCUACACGCGAGCUACAAUGGUUGGUACAAUGGGUAUCUACCCCGAAAGGGGACGGAAAUCUCCUAAAACCAAUCUUAGUUCGGAUUGAGGGCUGCAACUCGCCCUCAUGAAGCUGGAAUCCGUAGUAAUCGCGUUUCAACAGAACGCGGUGAAUACGUCCCUGCUCCUU